UGCGCCCCACGUCCAAAAAAUUUAGUGAAGGGCUAAUGCCCUUCACUCAUAUGGCCAGGUGGCCAUUUAGUGUAAGUGGCCGAAUGGCCUCUUUAAUAAGAGGUCAGUGCAUGUAAAAAAAAAAAAAUGAGUUAAGCUUCUUCAUUUUCUUUUUAGAACAGGGGCUUAUCUUUCAUUUUUUCUCUUUUGGAUUUUCAUAGAAAAACUACGAUCUACGAAGAUCUAACUGUCCAAUCUUAGAUUUGAUUUCGGUAACGUAAUCUUUGAAGCCCGAUCUACGUUUGGACCGAACGUUUUGAGAUUUUGUGUGGUUUGGAGUUACUAGGAGCCUCCCGAGCAUUGGGUCUUGGCGUGGUGAAUAUUUGCGGCACUUUACGGUUGAGCUUAGAUUCGUUUGGAUAUUGGGAGUACAAACGAUUUGAGGUACUCCUAAGGCGGAUGAUGAUCCGGUAGCAUACUAUUUGGGUUACUACGAUUGAAGCCCGUAACGACAGUUGUAGUGGGAUAGGACUAUGGUGUCCUUAUUUUGAGUGCCUUUGUAUAUGGCUUGUAACAUAUGUGUCACUUAUUAUUUUGUAUAAGCCAUUCUUUUGUAAUAGUUAUAUGUAGUUAAGCCUUAAACAAAUAGACUUGUGCUAUGGCUCACUUUUGUAUAGAUAACAGAUUUAUUUAUAGUUAUGCUU
This is a long non-coding RNA of Alnus glutinosa, 683 nucleotides long. RefSeq lists it as uncharacterized. The transcript has 4 exons. NCBI's taxonomy places the organism in Eukaryota, Viridiplantae, Streptophyta, Magnoliopsida, Fagales, Betulaceae. The record is from RefSeq and is a predicted model, not a curated record.